Long non-coding RNA from Felis catus (domestic cat), 3332 nucleotides. RefSeq lists it as uncharacterized. The record is from RefSeq and is a predicted model, not a curated record. The transcript has 4 exons. Lineage: Eukaryota; Metazoa; Chordata; Mammalia; Carnivora; Felidae.
UCGGACGCUUAACCGACUGCGCCACCCAGGCGCCCCUUGUAUUCUCAGUUUUUAAGAGUCUCUUACGGUUUGUUUUUUUUUUAAAGAAAAGGUGUGGCUAUGAAAAAAUUUAUUGGAUCUUAAUUUGCAAAAUUAGCUCCCCCCCAUCAACCCUCAGUGUAUUCUCAGUUUUUAAGAGUCUCUUAGGGUGUUUUUUUUUUUUAAAAGAAAAGGUGUGGCUAUGAAAAAAUUUAUUGGAUCUUAAUUUGCAGAAUUAGUUCCUCUCCCCCCCCAUCAACCCUCAGUGUAUUCUCAGUUUUUAAGAGUCUCUUACGUUUUUUUUUUUUUUAAAGAAAAGGUGUGGCUAUGAAAAAAUUUAUUGGAUCUUAAUUUGCAAAAUUAGUUCUGGUUCAUUUUAUUGCCGUAAUUUAAUACUUAUAAUGAUUUUCUGACACAUAUGUUUUAGCAGCAAGAUCUACUUCCUAUUCAUUUUUCAUCUCAGUACAGCUGAAGUCUAUUAGGUAGGACGGUACAAAUCAGGGAGAGGAGAACCUCGCAAGAAAUUGACUUCAUGAUGUCAUCUUAGCAUCCUUGAGACGCGCGCUGAGCCCCUGUAAGCGGAAAGUAGUCACAGCCGGAGAUUUGGGGCAGAAGGACACAGGCAAGCAAUCCUUCUUGGAAAAGGGAUUACUCUUUUUUUUUUUUUUUUUUUGCUGUAUCAUCAGCAACCUCUUCAUUGUCGUCAUCAUCAUUAUUGCAAUUUUUGUCCAAGAGCGCCGUGAGAUGCAUCCUAUUUGAACCCGUCCCCCUCGAGCUGUAGCAAGGACAGCUUGCCCAAGUAAGCUGCCGACUAACACUCAGAAGACGCAGGUCAUGGACGCAGAGGAGCUAAGGUCAAGGGACUCUGAGGGGGUGCUUCUCAUCCUGACCUGGGUGCUAGGGAGGGCAUCCCGGAGGAGAGGGCCCCCGGGGUUGAAUCCUGCAGGUGGUUCCUUAGGGCAGCGACUGUGUCUUUUUGUUUCUGCGUAGACACCUGUGACGCGGAAGGCACGUGGUAAAUAUUUGCAGAGAGAACAAACGAAGGUUCACUCUCUUUUUAAAUCUCCCCGAUGCCGAGUACUAGCUGAGAAGGAUGUGGUAUACGUGCCUUAGUUCAGGCCCUUUGGCUACGCAUUCUUGGAACUCGAAGCGUUCGGAGCUUCAGGACGUCAUUACCUCCUUCCAUUCUGUUCCCCUCCUUUGACCAAGUGACUGGUUCGAAGCCAUUUGCUUUUCUAAGAGACGGAGCUGGGAUAGAGUGUCUCUUGCCUUUCAGAAACGAGAACUCAUGUUUUUCGGAGAUGGAGAGACACGCCCAUUAUAAAGGUGGGGAAGGGUGAGGAUUCUAGAGUCAGGCGGCCCUAGGUGUGAAUCUUGGCUCUGUCAGUGUGUGAGGCAGGGGCGUGUUGAGCCCUAGGUUUCUCCUUCAUGCUGUAAAAACAGUAAUGACACCACAAGAGAGGGGUUGGGAGAAUUAAAUUGGAUGAUGCGGGUCGAAUACUUUGCUGUGGUCCCUGGCACACGGAACGUUCUCCAACAUCUGUCAGAAGUAACAAUGAAAACAAAACCAAGAAGCGAACUAACUCCCCUAAACUGGGUUCCUGGUUCUUUGGGCCAGUGGGACCAGAGUUGUUACUGGUGAAGUAUCUUCCUCCUGCACAGCCUGGGGGAGAACGUACAUGCUUAUUUCUUCUGAGAGAGAAACACAGGAGCCCUGUUCACUCCCCAUCGGGCUUUGGGCAGAGAGAGACAGAUGUGGUAGGCUGGUGGCUAGAGAUGGGGACAGUGAGGGAGGGCCCCGGAUGAGCAGUCCCCAGGAGCAAGAGGGGUCUGACAGGUCCAGCUGGCCCGGCAGGACCAACUGUGUGGGACAGCGGACCCCCACUCUGGAACCCAGCCUGUGCCCGCAGGAGGAACAGCAGGGGUGACCCAGGAUGGGAGUGAUCUCCGCCAGCAGGGACCCUGCCCCCGAGAUGGACGCAGGUCAAAUGGCGUUUGAGGAACUGAAGAACGUUGGGAGGGAAUUAUAGAAGCCUCUGAUCAGGAGAGUGGAGGCCCAGAGAGAUGUGAAUCACUCACUCCAAGUCACAGGCAUCAGCUCGAAGCCCAGAUGGAAAACGAACCUCAUCGAUUUCAAAGUCUGUCCUGUCCAUGUCACUGACCCAGCUAAACUUUACGGGACUACAUUUUCCCUUACACUUCUCUCCCUGACUUCAGCUCCUUGGUGAUGGGCUGUGUGUGAGUGUCUGGAAAUCGAUGUAUUUUAAGGAAUCGGUUCGAGUGACGACGGAGGCUUGACAACUUUGGAAUCUGCAGGCAGGCCAACAGGCUGGGAGAAGACCCAGGGAGAAGCUAAUGUUGCAGCUGGAGUUUGAAGGCAGUCUGGAGGCAGAGAUUCCUUUUCCUUGGGGGAACCUCAGCUUUUUUUUUUUUUUUUUUUUUUCUUUAAGACCUUCAACUGAUUGGGUGAGGCCCACCCACAUUAUAAAGAGUAAUCUGCUUUACUCAAUGUCUGGUGAUUUACCUGCUAAUUUCACCUAAGAAGUACCUUCCUAGUGAUAUCUAGACUGGUGUUUGACCAAAUAUCUGGGUACUGUGACCUCGCUGAGUUGACAUACGGCAUUAGCCAUCACGUGGGGCUAAUAAGAUCUAUCUCCUAAGAUGGAAGGGGGGUAUCCGUGAGCUGAUGUAGAAAAAGAGCUUGGGCACAGGUAAGUUCCGGCUGCAUAUUACCCGUUGUUCUUCCCCGGAACUGGACGUGCUGUCUCUGGCUUUGGCUCGGACGGGUCGUCUCUGUCCGCGGACCCGCCCUCUGGCAGCCGGCAGGUUUGAGUUCUGUCCCACCUGCUUCUUGCGGCUGCCGUAAAGUCCGGGUGCCUCCUGUGCGGCCCCCCCGCGUCUGGGAGGAGAUUUAUGUAUCCUGUUUCCCAGGAUAAAUUAGGAUCCUGGGCGCCGCCUCCCAUGGACGGCCUCGGUAGAGGCCCAGGAGGGGAAAUACCGCAGGGAAGGGCGGCUGAGGACGGCUGAAAUGGCAGGGCAAGAAUGCCACCCAGAGAAUCUUUGUUGUUGUUUAUACCGGUGGCAGGAAGCAAACAUAAUGCUCUUCAAUUUUCCUUGGCAGGGUCUGAGGCGCCCCGCGGCUGCCAUCCUGUCUGCCUGGCCGCGCUGCACCCCCACCUCCCCCAGCCUCAGGUGGACGGGCCCCCCCAGCAAAUGCUUUUCCUGGAAACAUGAGGCCCCCACAGCCCUCCGCCGCCCGACCCCCUCUGCGUUCAAGCCUCUGCGUUGUCUCCACCGGCCAGCCGUGCCCCCCC